Molecule: ribosomal RNA, 468 nt
Filed under: uncultured bacterium
Lineage: Bacteria
Description: partial 16S ribosomal RNA
Rfam family: Bacterial small subunit ribosomal RNA
Source: RNAcentral
GACGAACGCUGGCGGCGUGCUUAACACAUGCAAGUCGAACGGAAAGGCCCUGCUUUUGUGGGGUGCUCGAGUGGCGAACGGGUGAGUAACACGUGAGUAACCUGCCCUUGACUUUGGGAUAACUUCAGGAAACUGGGGCUAAUACCGGAUAGGAGCUCCUGCUGCAUGGUGGGGGUUGGAAAGUUUCGGCGGUUGGGGAUGGACUCGCGGCUUAUCAGCUUGUUGGUGGGGUAGUGGCUUACCAAGGCUUUGACGGGUAGCCGGCCUGAGAGGGUGACCGGCCACAUUGGGACUGAGGUUCCGCCCAGACUCCUUCGGGAGGCAGCAGUGGGGAAUAUUGCACAAUGGGCGGAAGCCUGAUGCAGCAACGCCGCGUGCGGGAUGACGGCCUUCGGGUUGUAAACCGCUUUCGCCUGUGACGAAGCGUGAGUGACGGUAAUGGGUAAAGAAGCACCGGCUAACUACGUG